AUACGGAGGGGGCUAGCGUUGUUCGGAAUUACUGGGCGUAAAGCGUACGUAGGCGGACUGAUCAGUUGGGGGUGAAAUCUCAGGGCUUAACCCUGGAACUGCCUUCAAUACUGUCAGUCUUGAGAUUGGAAGAGGUGAGUGGAAUUCCUAGUGUAGAGGUGAAAUUCAUAGAUAUUAGGAGGAACACCAGUGGCGAAGGCGGCUCACUGGUCCAAUACUGACGCUGAGGUACGAAAGCGUGGGGAGCAAACAGGAUUAGAAACCCUAGUAGUCC
This 274-nucleotide ribosomal RNA is filed under the name uncultured bacterium. Its description in RNAcentral is "partial 16S ribosomal RNA". It matches the Rfam family "Bacterial small subunit ribosomal RNA", at positions 523 to 796 of the family's 1533-position model. The record is from RNAcentral.